Long non-coding RNA from Hyalella azteca, 261 nucleotides. RefSeq lists it as uncharacterized. Lineage: Eukaryota; Metazoa; Arthropoda; Malacostraca; Amphipoda; Hyalellidae. The record is from RefSeq and is a predicted model, not a curated record. The transcript is spliced from 3 exons.
UUAACCAACUUGACGAAUGUGACGAACUUAGCAGCGCUUGCAGCCUUGGCUGCUGGUAACCACACGGGGCUACAGGCCCUCACACAGCCCGGCUUCCACGGUGGACUUGGCAGUCCAGGCCUGGGGGGAAGCACGAGCGGCCUGGGCGGCACUGGUGCCCUCAACCCCAACCCUUCCAACCCUGCUGGUAAGCAAGUGGAAGGCCCCCCAGGAGCAAACUUGUUCAUCUAUCACUUGCCUCAAGACUUCGGCGACUCCGAU